GGCCUUGAGGAAAGUAGACAACAUGUGUUCCAGCAACAGGCAAGUUCACCAGAGGUCCGGCGCAAGCUUGCCAUAGCUCUGGAUUUAAGUUCUUCUUCUCUCCUUCAGCUGGAUUAACAUUGCCACCACCGGCACCAUUUCCCGGCGUCUUCAUAUUCCCUUAUUCCGGCGAGCUGUAACAGAGCACCCACAACUUAUAAACCUACCGGAGAUUCAUCAGAGUUACAGAACUCAAUA
This 237-nucleotide unclassified non-coding RNA is filed under the name Hevea brasiliensis (rubber tree). The record is from RNAcentral. Lineage: Eukaryota; Viridiplantae; Streptophyta; Magnoliopsida; Malpighiales; Euphorbiaceae.